UCCGGUUUGUCACCGGCAGUCACCUUAGAGUGCCCAACUAAAUGCUGGCAACUAAGAUCAAGGGUUGCGCUCGUUGCGGGACUUAACCCAACAUCUCACGACACGAGCUGACGACAACCAUGCACCACCUGUCACUUUUGUCCCCGAAGGGAAAGCCCUAUCUCUAGGGAUGGCAAAAGGAUGUCAAGACCUGGUAAGGUUCUUCGCGUUGCUUCGAAUUAAACCACAUGCUCCACCGCUUGUGCGGGCCCCCGUCAAUUCCUUUGAGUUUCAACCUUGCGGUCGUACUCCCCAGGCGGGGUACUUCCUGCGUUAGCGCCGGCACCCAGAGGGUCGCUCCCCCAGGCACCUAGUACCCAUCGUUUACGGCGUGGACUAC
This 379-nucleotide unclassified non-coding RNA is filed under the name uncultured Bacilli bacterium. Its description in RNAcentral is "contains 16S-23S intergenic spacer region". Lineage: Bacteria; Bacillati; Bacillota; Bacilli. The record is from RNAcentral.